AUUAAUUAAUUAUAUUAUGAGAUUUUUAUUGAUAAACAAAUUAAAUAGUGACAAUUGUAAGGUUAUGAUAUGGUACAAAUGUAUUAAUUGUACUUGUUAUUAAAAUAAAUAUUUAGAAUAAAAUAUAUAAUAAUUAACAAAACAUAAAGUAAAUUAAAAGGAAAUAAAAACAAAGCAAAAGAAAAGAAACAGAAUAGAAAGAACAAAGAAACAGAGAAGCAAACGAAACAGGGGAAAGAAAGAAGAAAAAGAAAGAAAAAGGGAAAAUAGGGUUUUUAAAGCUUGGAAUUAAUUUGCUAAUAUCGC
Molecule: long non-coding RNA, 306 nt
Filed under: Gossypium raimondii (Peruvian cotton)
Lineage: Eukaryota; Viridiplantae; Streptophyta; Magnoliopsida; Malvales; Malvaceae
Description: long non-coding RNA (GRAI_LNC011114)
Source: RNAcentral